GUUUCCGGCGAGUCCGACGGCUUUCGAGGCGUUUUCCGGCAAAACCACGGCGAGUUAGACGUCGUGUGAGGUACCAUUCUCUUCGUCUCUUCAAGGGCUAUAACUUUCGUUUUUAUCUCGCUUGAUUUCGUUGAGUAUUGUUAAAGUUAUGGCCGUUUAAAGUGGGAUGGUUUUCCGGCCGAAUCUCCGGCCUUCUCCUUCUCGGCAAAACCAGGCCCAUCCGGCCUUUCCCUUUCCCUUCCCUCGGGCCUUAAGCCCAUUAGACCCCAGCCCCUUUUCUUUUAAUUUUGUUCUUGUUCUUUUAAAACCCAAUAAGGGCUCGGGCCUUAUUUAAAAUGGCCUUGGGCCGGUUUUGGUUUAAGGGGCUUAAAGCCCUGCCCUUGUGAGGCCUUAAGGCCUUUGUGGUUUGUGUGUGUGUGUGUAUUAGGUGUGUGUGUGUGUGUGUGUGUGUGUGUUUAAGUGUGUGCGUGUGUGUAUAUGCAUGCCUUGCAUGCAUGUGCAUGUCGUGCAUGUGUGUGUGAGUUUGUGGUGUGUAUAUGUUUGGGCUUAGGCCCAAACUCUAUUUCUUUACCCUAAACCCUUUUAACCCAAAAACCUUAGAAAACCCAAAACCCAAUAUAUCAUAAUCCUAUUUAACCUAAACCCUAAUCCGAUUUUCAAGCCUAAAACCGUUAGACUUAAUUUGACCGUUGACCUCCGGUUAACGAUGACUUUAGGGUUGACUUUUCGGGUUUUCGUCCGGGACCCUUCUUAGGGUAAUUCGACGUUCUGAAUCCGUUUCCGACGUCUGUUUUCCCAAAUUCAAUUGUUAAAAAUAGAGUUUUAUUAAUUGGACCCUUUAUGUGCUUAGGGCAAUUAUUGGUGACGUUUUCUUGUUCGUUAGUUUGCGUGGCUCUUCGGCGGCUAAGUACUGUGAGUGGACCCCUUCUAAAAUGCAUGUUUUAUAGUAGAAAUGCAUACAUGAAAAGCAUGAUUUGAUGAUUACGUUUUAUGAAACGUUUUGUGAGAUAACAUGCUUAUUGAGGCUACUUUAAAUUAUUACUAUUUUUCCUAUAACCCGUGUUCUUAUAGAAUAUCUGAUGGAUGACGAUAUGAUAUUUAGAACAUGUUUCGAACACCUCUUUAUAGUAUAGAUGAUGAAUGACUUUAUACUAUGAAGUUGUUUUUCAAUAUAUGUAUGUUCAAUGGUUUUGUACUUACCUAGUGGUCAUUUCCGCUAUACGGGACGUAGGGAUAGAUUCCGGUCCGUCCCGGGCGACGGUUUGGUGUUGGCAUAGGGCCUGGAGUGUGUUUCCUCUGGCUAUUUAGCACAGGGACGGGGAGCCGGCAUGGGGCCUGAAGUGUAUUUUCCUCUGAUUGUCUGCUCAGAGACGGGGAGCCGGCAUGGGGCCUGGGGGUUAUCGGACAAUUCACUAGUGAUUAUUAUAUAUACAAGUUAUGAUUUGAGAUACUGCACAUCAUGCUAGGUUUCGGAAAACCUAUGUUUAUCAUUAUAUAUGUGUUUUCAUAAAACUUGGGGGUUAGUACGUUGAUAACUGUUUUGUUAUAUUUAUAUCAAAUUGGUCCACUCAUGUUUGUUUUGCGCCCCCUUCAGGAUUUAGGAUCGAGGCAUACAAUCCCGGCAUCCAGGCACUUCCGCAUCGGUAUCUUCGAGUCCUCUCGGUGUAGGACCCAUUUCUAUGUUCAUUCAAUUUUUAUAUUAAUUCUUUUAAUGUUCUAGAUUAGAUGUGUGCUCUGAACACGUUCCUUAAAUACAUAUUCUUUAUUCUCUUAUAUUUAUAAGUCUUAUCUAUCCCUUGUUGUCAGCAUUUGCACUCAAUAAAUGGCUUUCGUCACCCUUCGGGUGUCGGCCAGCACGUGACCAUCCCUUUGUCCCUAGGACAUCGGGAUCGGGGCGUGUCAGAUUGGUAUCAGAGCGUGCUAAGUAAGCGAGUAAGGGUGAGUGGUGACGACGGUUAGUAGGUGGUAGUUAGUGGGAGCAAAUCAAUGUUCUCGGACUCAUUACCACCGAAGAAAUUUGGGUGAAUCUUUAUAACAAUUCUCGGCGAUUGUUCUAACGAUUACCUUCUUACUUAUUCCAAUGACGAUGACAAGUUCACGAACCUUUGAUCGUUGACUUCACAUCAAAGCCUUCGAGAGUUGACUUCGUCUAGAGAUUACACUUUCUUGGGAAACUCCUCGGUAGCAGAUGCUGUUCCCAUCAAUUUCCCAAAAUGGAGUUACGAUUCUUGUUGUUGUGGUAGUUGGACUUGGAUGAUGAAGAUCUAGUCUUGUUUGGAUAAACAGAUUCUUGAAUUUCACCUGGGUCUGGUACUCGGUGGUAAAAUGGCCCUUGUUCAUGUACUUUUCGGUAGAGGUGAACUUAGCCUCUUGCUUGUAGCUCAAUUGACUAGUGCUCUUGUCCAUUAACUGUUCAGCCUUGUAAUUUUCAGUGUAAUGGCUUGAGAUUCCACCAUAUUCAUCAUUGUACGAAGAUUGAGCUUUACUCUAAACUUCUCUGGACUCAUUGAGCUUUGGUUUAGUUAGAAGCAUCACUUUAAGGUAGCCAAUCGUGUCACUGCAUGCAUACGCGGGCUGCUUCGUAUCUUUCUUCAUCGUCAUUCUGUUGAUUCAGAGGUUCUAUGUUUAAUUUUUGAACUUUGACAAAUCUCACAAAGUAUUGUGAAUUUCGAAAUGUCUUUGGCCUCGUCAAAUCUUAUAAGCAGUUGUUAACUAUUCUUUGAGCUUAGACCUGUUUCCCUUUUGGCUAAGAAACCCGUCAACCUUAUGGUGAUGAUUAGCUAAAUAAUCAUAAACAGUGACUUCUAUUUCUGCAUCUUCAUUUUCCUUCGCUUGUUUGUUUCUCAAUGUAAACGGAAUCAUGCCGGAACAAAAAAAAAAAAAAAAAAAAAAAAAAAAAAAUUUGUUCUCAGCUUGGUUUCUGGUUUAAAUCAUGAUAUCUUGUACUCAGCAUAGUUUCUGGUUUAAAUCUCGAUAUCUUGUACUCCAGUUUUAAUGGACUAUUUUGACUCUCAAAUUCUUGAGUGUUCCUUUUAGCCUUCUCGACAUGGUUUCUCGCUCAAUCAGUGAGGAAUUCACGAUCGAUCGAUUCGGCGGAAGUGUGCACCCAAUUCUUAUCGUUUUGGACAGGAAUGUUGGGAGUAUAAUAUUUUGACAAGCUUACUAGACUUACCAGAAAGAGUUCCUCGUGGGUGUGAAGUUUGAGUCGUCUUUUGGUAAGAGACCGGUGAAAGAUUGUGGUGCAUAUGAGUAGCAUAUUGCAUCACUAUCUUCACUCUAAUUGAAUGGUCACCAUUCAUUAUUUUGUUGCAAUUCAUCACCAUCAUAUCGUACUCUGGUAGAUCUUUUCGAUGAUGUGAUGUGUUCGCCUCAACGCACCGCAGCGUAGCUUUCCACUACCUCGCACCAGGAUCUUUCGGUUCGAGAGCACGUGGGCAUGAGGUUUAAGCGGUCUUUUAGUAAGAGUUGGUUGAAGGUUUUAGUACAGAAGGUCAGCAUAUUGUAUCACCAUCUUACUAGAAUUCAUGGGCAUCACAUCGGUUAUUUUCCAACGAUAUGUGUUCGUCUCAACGCAUAUUUCCACUGCUUCACUUUUGAACUUUAUUAUCGUGAGUACGCAGUUGUCGAAACACUUCUAGCAGAUCUGUUUGGUGCAUUCUGGGAUGACACUACAUCACGGUCGAGGCGAGAAUUGGAUAAUCUUUGCACUUACUUCGAAAGGUGUGUGCUCUCUUUGGUUGUUAAGAUGACCAUUUGCGAGUCGUUCUUCUUUCCACCAACUUUGACCUUGGUUGACUAGAAAUAUGCAACUAAGCAAAAAUGGAGAGGUGGAUUGAGCACUACAACAGUUCCCAAGAGAUACUGCAUGUUGAGGAAGAUGACUUCUCGUUUUCUGCUUGCUUGGUUCAAGCUUUUGGGUCUACUACUAACAUGGUAGCCACUUCUCUUGAAUCCCAAGAUACAAUUUUCAAAAGGGUUCUUUACUGGUGAAACACUGGAGUAGUUGGUCACAUUUGGAAGAACUGAGGAGGAUAGGAUGCUUAGUGCUGGAUAAAGUUUUACGACGACAGUUCUUAUUUUUGUUCGGUUUGAGUAUGGCACUUGUUGCGGCAUGGUACGAGAGUUGCUACACGCAACAUUGGUUGAUAGAGGAGAUGUGCGAGCUUGUAAUUGGAAGAUCGAAUUUUCGGCGUGUGAAAUUGUGCACCCUUAGGAAAUUAGUGCUUGCUUAUCGAGACAACAAAUGUGUGAUCGAUAUCACGGGCGGCCGACUGUUGUAUCGAUAACUUAUUCGUUGGGUUCGUUAAGCAAGUGGGCAGGAAGAUCCGUCUACGGCAAUUGUUACAGAUUAGCUAUUCUUGGGAUUCGACCCAAAGACACAUCUUUUCUCGGAGUACGUGAAGUUACGAAUUCUUGGGCGAGAUCCAUUUCCAUUUUCAGUUUUGGUUUUUAGUAUAAGUAUUUUAACUUCCUUUACUUUAGUUAUUUGUUUUUGUCAUUUCAAUUGUUUUGAGGAAAGUGUUUUCCGUUUUCAAUUUUAAGUUCAGCACGAGUUUUCGACCUAUAUGUUAUUACAUCUCUAUUUUGACGUUAUCGUAUUUUAUGUACUUACUUUUGACCUUAAGUUAUUAUGUGUUUUCGACUUAAUAUUUUUAUAAAGUAUAUUUCUACUUUUACACUGAUGGGGAUGAAAGUAAGAGCUUUGAGGCAUAAUAGAGGAUUUUGCAACCCGCUCGCGACGGUGUGGCAUAUUCUCUUUGAUGCACCGACUCUGACUUGAUUUCUCUUUAUACAUAUAUUCUUCUUACUAUUUUCGAGUACUUCAGUUUAGUAAAUGAUUUUAAAUUUCGGGGACGAAAUUUUUAUAAGGGUGGUAGAUUGAAACACCUCAACCCUUUUUAUAUUUAAAAAUUGUUUUUAAAGCCUUAAUUGGUGAGCCCGUGGGGCCCACCUUGUUUUAUUUAUUGUGUGUUUCCCGGUCUCCCUCUUCCCUAUCUCAGUUCUCUCUUCAGUCACCCGAGCUCUCUCUCCCUCGUCUCUCUCUUUCUCGUCCUCCCAUGAGCACAUACCCAUCACCACACCACCAUCUCCGACGUCAACGGCGUCGUCAUCAUCAUCAUCAGUUCGUUUUCUCUCUCUCUCAGUUGCUGCGAGGACAGCAAAAACCAGUACUCGAGCUCCGACACAAACCGACGCCUUUCGAGGCCAUUUCCGGCCAAACCACGGCGGGUUGGCCGGCGUGCAAGGUAUCAAUCUCUUCGUCUUGUCGAGUACUACAACUUUCCUUUUGGUUUCACUCAAUUUAGUUGAGUAUAUUGAAGAAGUUAUACUCAUUUGAAUCUUACCCAGUUUCCGGCGAGUCCGACGGCUUUCGAGGCGUUUUCCGGCAAAACCACGGCGAGUUAGACGUCGUUGUGAGGUACCAUUCUCUUCGUCUCUUCAAGGGCUAUAACUUUCGUUUUUAUCUCGCUUGAUUUCGUUGAGUAUUGUUAAAGUUUAUGGCCGUUUAAAGUGGGAUGGUGGUUUUCCCGGCCGAAUCUCCGGCCUUCUCCUUCUCGGCAAAACCAGGCCCAUCCGGCCUUUUCCCUUUCCCUUCCCUCGGGCCUUAAGCCCAUUAGAACCCCAGCCCCUUUUCUUUUAAUUUUGUUCUUGUUCUUUUUAAAACCCAAUAAGGGCUCGGGCCUUAUUUAAAAUGGCCUUGGGCCGGUUUUGGUUUAAGGGCUUAAAGCCCUGCCCUUUGUGAGGCCUUAAGGCCUUUGUGGUUUGUGUGUGUGUGUGUAUUAGGUGUGUGUGUGUGUGUGUGUGUGUGUGUGUUUAAGUGUGUGCGUGUGUGUAUAUGCAUGCCUUGCAUGCAUGUGCAUGUCGUGCAUGUGUGUGUGAGUUUGUGGUGUGUAUAUGUUUGGGCUUAGGCCCAAACUCUAUUUCUUUACCCUAAACCCUUUUAACCCAAAAACCUUAGAAAACCCAAAACCCAAUAUAUCCUAAUCCUAUUUAACCUAAACCCUAAUCCGAUUUUCAAGCCUAAAAACCGUUUAGACUUAAUUUGACCGUUGACCUCCGGUUAACGAUGACUUUAGGGUUGACUUUUCGGGUUUUCGUCCGGGACCCUUCUUAGGGUAAUUCGACGUUCUGAAUCCGUUUCCGACGUCUGUUUUCCCAAAUUCAAUUGUUAAAAUAGAGUUUUAUUAAUUGGACCCUUUAUGUGCUUAGGGGCAAUUAUUGGUGACGUUUUCUUGUUCGUUAGUUUGCGUGGCUCUUCGGCGGCUAAGUACUGUGAGUGGACCCCUUCUAAAAUGCAUGUUUUAUAGUAGAAAUGCAUACAUGAAAAGCAUGAUUUGAUGAUUACGUUUUAUGAAACGUUUUGUGAGAUAACAUGCUUAUUGAGGCUACUUUAAAUUAUUACUAUUUUUCCUAUAACCCGUGUUCUUAUAGAAUAUCUGAUGGAUGACGAUAUGAUAUUUAGAACAUGUUUCGAACACCUUCUUAUAGUAUAGAUGAUGAAUGACUUUAUACUAUGAAGUUGUUUUUCAAUAUAUGUAUGUUCAAUGGUUUUGUACUUACCUAGUGGUCAUUUCCGCUAUACGGGACGUAGGGAUAGAUUCCGGUCCGUCCCGGGCGACGGUUUGGUGUUGGCAUAGGGCCUGGAGUGUGUUUCCUCUGGCUAUUUAGCACAGGGACGGGGAGCCGGCAUGGGGCCUGAAGUGUAUUUUCCUCUGAUUGUCUGCUCAGAGACGGGGAGCCGGCAUGGGGCCUGGGGGGUUAUCGGACAAUUCACUAGUGAUUAUUAUAUAUACAAGUUAUGAUUUGAGAUACUGCACAUCAUGCUAGGUUUCGGAAAACCUAUGUUUAUCAUUAUAUAUGUGUUUUCAUAAAACUUGGGGGUUAGUACGUUGAUAACUGUUUUGUUAUAUUUAUAUCAAAUUGGUCCACUCAUGUUUGUUUUGCGCCCCCUUCAGGAUUUAGGAUCGAGGCAUACAAUCCCGGCAUCCAGGCACUUCCGCAUCGGUAUCUUCGAGUCCUCUCGGUGUAGGACCCAUUUCUAUGUUCAUUCAAUUUUUAUAUUAAUUCUUUUAAUGUUCUAGAUUAGAUGUGUGCUCUGAACACGUUCCUUAAAUACAUAUUCUUUAUUCUCUUAUAUUUAUAAGUCUUAUCUAUCCCUUGUUGUCAGCAUUUGCACUCAAUAAAUGGCUUUCGUCAC
RNAcentral lists this long non-coding RNA (7198 nucleotides) under Malus domestica (apple). RNAcentral describes it as "long non-coding RNA (MDOM_LNC007843)". The record is from RNAcentral. Lineage: Eukaryota; Viridiplantae; Streptophyta; Magnoliopsida; Rosales; Rosaceae.